Molecule: ribosomal RNA, 242 nt
Filed under: uncultured bacterium
Lineage: Bacteria
Description: partial 16S ribosomal RNA
Rfam family: Bacterial small subunit ribosomal RNA
Source: RNAcentral
CUAGCGUUGUUCGGAAUUACUGGGCGUAAAGCGUAUGCAGGCGGACUUUUAAGUCGGGGGUGAAAUCCCGAGGCUCAACCUCGGAACUGCCUUCGAUACUGGAAGUCUUGAGUCCGGGAGAGGUGAGUGGAACUCCGAGUGUAGAGGUGAAAUUCGUAGAUAUUAGGAAGAACACCAGUGGCGAAGGCGGCUCACUGGAUCGGUACUGACGCUGAGGUGCGAAAGCGUGGGGAGCAAGCAGG